GAUGCCGGGCGCGGGCCAGCCGCGGGGUGGCGGGGCGGGGCGCUGACCUCACAGUCCGCGAGGAAGCCCGUCGUCGGGGGCCGGCCGCGCUGAUGGAAGGGCUGAGGAAUCCGCAGCUGGCGGCGCGAUGGGGCAUGUGCGUGUGUGUACACUUCCCCUUUAAACGUGGCCCGGAGAGGAGCGGUUGCCAUGGGCACGCACCGGGAAGGGGGGUGGGGUGGGUGAAACCGAGGCGCGCUCGGACCGAGGUCCCGGUCCGGUCCUGGUCCGGGACCUGGCGCGGGGCCCUGCCCGGGCGGGGGAGUCGGGAGAUCCCGCCGGCGGGGGAAGGGUGGCAAGGACCCGCCUCCAGGGACACCCCAAUCCGAGCCCGCCCCCCGCCCCCGCGGUGUCCCAGUCAGAUGCAGUCUUGGACCAGGGUGUCCUGAGGAGGCUCUGUGCCUGCCCUGCCCACCAAGAGGUGCGCCUCGCGGGGGGAGGUGGGGGACUAGCACAGGCUGCCCGCUGUUACCCUCCUUGGGCCCUGAGGCUGAGAGUUUAAAAGGUGCUUGACCUCACUUUUUGCCCAUGCAGCCACCACCCCUCACCGACCUCCACCCACCCGCUAACCUCCUCAACCUCUCCCAGCCUCAGUUUCCUUAUCUAUUAACCAGCGAUUAGUCAUAUCUACCAUACAGGGUGGUUGUGAUUAAAAUAGAAUAAUUAUGUAAUGUGCCCUGUGUGCUGUAGAUGGGGUCCUCUUUCCCUUCUCCCCCCUCCCUCCUCAAUCAGGCCUGGGAUCAGUUAGGUCCUCCUUGUCAACAUCCCGUCCCCCAGGCCUGGAGCUUCUCGUGGAUCAACACCCUUGCCAGGGCUCUCCCCACCUCCUUUCCCCUCAGGGUUACCUUGGAACCCUCCUUACACAAAAGGAUGGUUCAACUUGCUGUCGGAACCUGCAGGAAUCCCAGGCUGAGGUCCAGGAAUAUUAACAGAGGGCCCAGCCUGGCUGAAGUGAGUCAGCCUCUCCCGAACAUUACUUGCUGCUUCAGCUGCCCUUUGCAGAUUGGACCGGUUGGUUGCCAGGACUAAGUGGCCCCUGGAAAUCGCUGGGAAAACCAGCAUGUCCUGGGGGUGGGGUUAAGAGCCAACCCCAGCAUGCCAGGCCGGUAAGGGGCUCCUGAUACCCCUUUGUCUCCUCCCUGGGAACCGAGGCUCGGGGCUGGGGAGCAGUGGUACCCCCUGUAAGGAAGGGCGGGCCUGGCUUACUGUAACUGCCUGGCUAAAAGCCUGAUUGUCCUGUGGUUGGGCAGGCCAGCCAGAGAGGGGCCCUGGUGUAGGGAGAGCUCAUGCAGUGUGUGAAGUGGAGAUAGGCAUGACUGCUUUCCCAAGGAGAGUUACUAGACCAGGUGGGGCUGCCAAGAGGGCGCCAUUUCUCCCCCCAAGCAGGUCAGGCCACUAGUUAAAUGCCAGAUUAUUUGCAAGAAAUAGUUGGUCCAGGGCUCAGCCCCUUCCCAGGGGCAUCAGAGCAGCCAGUGUUGACCCAGCACUCACUAUGUCCUGGGCGACGUGGGUGUUCGCUCACUGAUCUAUGACAACAACCCUAGGAAGUGGGGACCGUUAUUAUCCCCAUUGUAACAGAUGGGGAGCAGAUUCAGAGAUCUGCCCUGGUCUCCUAACUUUGAGGAGGCGAACUGAACCGGGAUGAAAACCCAGGCGCUUGAUCCCCAGUCCGUCUGGCCUCCUGGGCGUGGGAACCAGUGUGGCCCGGAAGAGUAGUGGAUGGCCCAGCGGACUGCCCAGGUGUCUGAACCCCUCCCCCCAGGCACGCUGUCUGCUGGGUACUCAGCUGACUUCCUGUCCCUGGAAGAGCAGCUGCGGGUAUGCUGGGGUAGGGCGGUCCCCUUCCUGUAGUUCAGGUAAAAGCAUAACCCCAUGCCUUCUUGGCAUCCUCCCUCUCUCCUUUCCCAGGCUCUAGAUGUCAGACAGAACUGGAUGCCCCAGAAAGCCUCUCAGGGCCAGAGAUUUGUCCGGAGUCUCCAGUUGUAGCUCUAACAGACCACCUGGAGCUUUCUUCAUCACGCUUCCUCUCUAAUGAUGAUGGCGAUGCAGAGAUGAAAGAUGCAGAUGGAAGUCCCUUAACUUCAUAUCCCCAGCUCUCUCUAACCUGGUCGUCUGGAACAUCUGAGGGAUGGAGGCUGCCGCGCUCCUGUGUCCACUUCACCAUCAGAUAACCCAGGGCUUUGCAAAGAGCUGGCUGUUGGGCAUCCCCUGGACUUUUCCCUAGGUGACAUUGCCAAGGAACUGUGGCACUGGCAGAUUUCCCACGCCCAGCCCCGAGGCUUCACCUUCCCCUGUCUUUUGCCCAUGGAAGCUCAGAAUAAGCUUUCUAGAGGAUGCUCUUUCUUGCGUGUAGCGUCAUCUGAGGUUGCUAAUACUGAAGCUCUUCACCAGAGAAACGUAGGAAGCAUCCCUGCAGCUAAAUGAGGCAAUGUCUGUAGAGGACCAGGCCAUGCCAAGCAGGCUACAGACGCAUGCUCCCUCCUCCCCAAGAGGCACUGCCCUUGGCUGUGCAGACUGCCUCUCAGGCCUGCCCUUGGCCAGGCCAUCUGCUGGGCCCAUCCCUGGGCACCUUUGAAGCCUGUCCUUUGCUCAAGGUGUCUUGGAUGGAGUAUAAAGGGGCCUUGCUCUUGUUCCUCUACCCAAGAGCAAAGAAAGACACAUUUGUUAGGCUCUUCCUGGAAAAUGCAAGGAAAGAAAAAAAAAUGUUCUUAAUUUUAGAUCCUGCAGGACCAACCAGCAGUACAGGGUUGAAUAGUAUACCCCAAAUUCAUGUCCAUGUGGAGUCUGUGCAUGUGCCCUUAUUUGGAAAUAGGGUCUUUGCAGAUGUAGUUAAAGAUGAAGUCAUACUAGAUUUGUUUGGGCCCUAAUCCAAUGACUGGAUACAAGAAGAGGGAGAUUUAGACAUAGGCACACGGGGAAGACAGCCAUGUGAAGACGGAGGCGAAAACUGGAGUGAUGCGUCUAUAAGCCAAGGAACGCUAAGGAUUGCUGGUGAUCACCAAAUGCUGGGGAGAGGCAGGGAAGGAUUCUCCCCUAGAGACUUCAGAGGGCACAUGGCCCUUGCUGAUAUCUUGAUUUGGGACUUCUGUCCUCCAGGAUGGCCAGGGGGAGACCAAGGCCAACAGCAUUCUCAUGCAGUCCUUGUCUGUUUCCCACUGAACCCUCCAGAGAGCAGCAGGGAGGGCCACUGAGACCAGAGAGCAGAGUCCUGGGCGGGCUGACUCAGUUGCUCGAAUCCUCCCUCCGAGGCCAAGAACACCUGUGAUCCUGGAUCAGGACAGCUUUCUCCUCCCAGAGGAAAGCUCGGACCCCUGCCAUCACCUCGCCGCUGAAUCCUGGUCAGCGAUCUGCCAGUUCACUGUGUUGCUCACAGUGGGAAGCUAGACUGCGGUGAUUCAUCAUCACGCAUCACCCCAUGGAAAGUUCAUCUACGGCGCACAUCGGAGGGACGUCAGGGGUCAAGCAUUUGGUGGGCUUCCACUGGGCGCCACCGACUCUGCCGGAUUUUGUGAUGAAUGUAAAAAGCUGGAAGAUCCAGUGCCUGGUGCACAGUAGGCAUUCAAUAAGUUAUCAUCGAAGGAAUGAAUAAGAGAGUUCUUCCUUCAGAGAGUUCAUAGUCCAGCCUGGAGGAAACUGGCAACCACCAACGAGAGGCAGAAUUGGAAGAGGGAGAAGGGCUGUCUGGGCUGGUGGGAUAACCCCCGUGUGAAACGGGCUCACAGACUGUAAGUCUCUUGAAGUCUGAAUGUUUCCUGGUUGGCAAUGAUCUCUCCAGCAUUGGUCACAGUGCCCAGAACAGGGCUCCCACCUGCAUUGAUAUCACCUGGGGCACUGGGCAGUCUAGGUUUUCCACCUUUCUCUAAGGCUGGGCCUGAUUAUUACAACGAAUAGCAGCUGUGAUCGUAUUUACGAGGAGAGCGCGCAGUUUUAGUGUUCAGAGCCCUGGCUUCAGAUGAGAGCCAGGGGCCUCUGAUUCUCUCUGCAAUGCAGCCUUCCAGGCCACUGCUGUUGCUUAAGGCUGUGCUGCAAUCCGGAGCACUCAGGAGUGGGAAGUCCAGAGUUCUCCCCACUUCUGGGAACAGCCCUCCAUCCCCCUCCCCGCGCCAGCUUCCACAGGCAGUCCUCAUGACAGUGGGUCAGGCUAACCCAGGGUUUCACAAAUGCCUGGCCUGUUCCCAGCACAGCACAGCUGGGAGGGCUCAGCACUGGGGGAAGGAGCACCGUCCUCCUCCCCCUGCCAUCCUCAGGCUGGGGCCCAGGGGCUGGAGCCCAGCAGAGGGAAGGGCUGCACUUGUCUGCACUUGCCCCAGUGCGGGCAGUGAUCCUGGGCCUUCCCUCCCUGCUAAUUUCCCAGCUCUGGCUUAGUCAAGGUUCAAGGAGGAUAUUCCCUUUACCGGGAAGUGAGGAGGACCCAGGCUUGUCUUCCCCAAAGGAAGCGAGUGGUCUCAGAGUCACCUGAGGAGGUGUUGCGUAUUGAGAUUCCCCACUCUCCUUGGGGCUUCUGAUUCAGAAAAGCUGAGCUUGGAGUCCGGGAAUCUGCAAUUUCACCCACUCCCUGGGGGCUAUAGCCGCAGGUGGUUCUUUGGCUUUCAUGAGCCUUGGGAGGGAGGCAGCUCUGGGAGGUGAGAAGGGUUGAGCCAAAAAAAGCCCUGUGUUCUCAGGUAGGACCUCCGGCUCUCUCUAAUGAGCUCCAUGACCCUGGAGUAACUGCCCUUGUAAUCCAAGUCUCACUUUCACUAUCACUGAAAUGGAUGUGUGACCCGAGGGAAGGGUGAUCAAAUGUCCUGGACAUUCAGGGCUACUAACCCAGGACAAGCUGGUCACCGUACCUGAGGAUGAGACAGGACUGUGGAUGUUCGAGGUACUGGAAAUGUGACUUAAAGAUGAGUCUUUGCGGCACAAGUA
Delphinapterus leucas (beluga whale) is the source of this 4944-nucleotide non-coding RNA. The record is from RefSeq and is a predicted model, not a curated record. NCBI's taxonomy places the organism in Eukaryota, Metazoa, Chordata, Mammalia, Artiodactyla, Monodontidae.